RNAcentral lists this long non-coding RNA (388 nucleotides) under Panax ginseng (ginseng). RNAcentral's name for it is "long non-coding RNA (PGIN_LNC003665)". Lineage: Eukaryota; Viridiplantae; Streptophyta; Magnoliopsida; Apiales; Araliaceae. The record is from RNAcentral.
UAGGUCCAUUUCACCCAACCCAUUCUGAGUCGCCAAAUACAUGGUACAGAAAUAACUACAACUUCAAUAAUACAAAUGUCGUGUGAAAUACGACAAUACAUACUGUGAGUUUAAAUACAGAUAUUGCUGUCUAGACAAUAUCCACACGCAAAUAAAUCCCCAUCAUAAUUAUUGAUACAUUAUUUUACAAAAAUGGUGAGGACUACUAAACAACUCUCUCUAGAACCUUCAUUCCAUACCCCGACUCGAUCCUGCUAUGUUCUCACCUCCUGAGAAGAAAAUGGAACAACAAGGAAAAGGGUGAGCUCAACUAGCCCAGUAAAGAAUAUUAUGACUAAGAUAAUAUACAACAAAUUAUCGUUAGUCUUCAACAGGGAAAAAUCUAAUA